RNAcentral lists this ribosomal RNA (253 nucleotides) under uncultured bacterium. Its description in RNAcentral is "partial 16S ribosomal RNA". It matches the Rfam family "Bacterial small subunit ribosomal RNA", at positions 524 to 776 of the family's 1533-position model. The record is from RNAcentral.
UACGAAGGGGGCUAGCGUUGCUCGGAAUUACUGGGCGUAAAGCGCACGUAGGCGGCUUUCUAAGUCGGGGGUGAAAUCCUGGAGCUCAACUCCAGAACUGCCUUCGAUACUGGAGAGCUCGAGUCCGGGAGAGGUGAGUGGAACUGCGAGUGUAGAGGUGAAAUUCGUAGAUAUUCGCAAGAACACCAGUGGCGAAGGCGGCUCACUGGCCCGAUACUGACGCUGAGGCACGAAAACGUGGGGAGCAAACAGG